RNAcentral lists this ribosomal RNA (425 nucleotides) under uncultured bacterium. RNAcentral's name for it is "partial 16S ribosomal RNA". It matches the Rfam family "Bacterial small subunit ribosomal RNA", at positions 354 to 796 of the family's 1533-position model. The record is from RNAcentral.
GUGGGGAAUCUUGCGCAAUGGGCGAAAGCCUGACGCAGCCAUGCCGCGUGAAUGAUGAAGGUCUUAGGAUUGUAAAAUUCUUUCACCGGGGACGAUAAUGACGGUACCCGGAGAAGAAGCUCCGGCUAACUUCGUGCCAGCAGCCGCGGUAAUACGAAGGGGGCUAGCGUUGCUCGGAAUUACUGGGCGUAAAGGGCGCGUAGGCGGACAGUUUAGUCAGAGGUGAAAGCCCAGGGCUCAACCUUGGAAUUGCCUUUGAUACUGGCUGUCUUGAGUACGGGAGAGGUGAGUGUAACUCCGAGUGUAGAGGUGAAAUUCGUAGAUAUUCGGAAGAACACCAGUGGCGAAGGCGACUCACUGGCCCGUUACUGACGCUGAGGCGCGAAAGCGUGGGGAGCAAACAGGAUUAGAUACCCUUGUAGUCC